CUCCCGGCAAGUGUCGCGAUUGCAUAUAUUAUAUUUUCGUUCGAUUGUUCUUUUGAGGUGGUUCUUUUUUAUUCUACCGUCUACUAGGUCUUAAAAUCUACUUAGCCCGGUAGGUCAUCGCUUGGUACAAAUCGGCGGGCAAACUUGUUGGGUGUGUAUAGCGGCGAAUCACAACUGCGAAAUAUUAAACGUUAUAAUAUUAUUAAUAUUAUGCAAUUGGACACCGCGCGCGCGGAAUGUCAUCCGAUGUUGUCUUUAUCCGGUUAGUUUUUAUUUUUGGUAGACACUCGACUCAUCCUGUUUCGUCGUAAAAUUUCAGCAUCGUCGCAGAUCGUAUUAUACAUAAUAUUAUGCCUGAUAAACCGCGCGAUUUCAUUAAACGUUGUAUAACGACCGCUUACAAUAUUAUCCAUAUAUAAUACACGUAUGUUUGAAUAUUAUUGCGUACCCUAAUAAGUUAUAUUAUUCUCUUGUCAAACUUUCUCAUAAGCAUCGCGUCUCUUAUACUUCCCGAUU
Molecule: non-coding RNA, 516 nt
Organism: Cinara cedri
Lineage: Eukaryota; Metazoa; Arthropoda; Insecta; Hemiptera; Aphididae
Source: the annotation of a GenBank genome assembly